Molecule: long non-coding RNA, 1210 nt
Filed under: Capra hircus (goat)
Lineage: Eukaryota; Metazoa; Chordata; Mammalia; Artiodactyla; Bovidae
Description: lncRNA (ENSCHIG00000003823.1)
Source: RNAcentral
CGCUCCAGAUCCUUUCCCGAAAUCAGGCUUUGAAAGGAAAAGUAAUGUGAUCUUUAGAACACUGAAUGCCAAGGACCCACCAGCAAUAGGAGAUCAGAAUAUCCAAGACCAUCUUUCCUAAUUAAUAGUAUUUUUCCAACAGUGUUUAUUGUAAAUAUUCUCCCUCAACCCCAAUUUAAAGGGUUGGCUCUAGAAAGUUUCUGGGCUGGGCUUGUGUUUGAAUUUUUAGAACCAUCAUAUUCUCAAAUCUUCGCAAAUAGAAGCAGUAUUCUCUCCUAAGAAACACUUUAGAUCCUUUCAGCAUCACUCUGUACCUAAGGUUUUCUGUACUUCUGGUAACUGCCAUUCAUUCAACCAAAAGGAGAAGGCAAUGGCACCCCACUCCAGUACUCUUGCCUGGAAAAUCCCAUGGACGGAGGAGCCUGGUAGGCUGCAGUCCAUGGGGUCGCAAAGAGUCGGACACGACUGAGUGACUUCACUUUCACUUUUCACUUUCAUACAUUGAAGAAGGAAAUGACAACCCACUCCAGUGUUCUUGCCUGGAGAAUCCCAGGGACGGGGGAGCCUGGUGGGCUGCCGUCUAUGGGGUCGCACAGAGUCGGACACAACUGAAGCAACUUAGCAGCAGCAGCAGCAUUCAACCAAAGCCUAAGCAUGUUAUAAAACAGCCUCAACCGAAACAAGAGAGACAGAGGAUGUCAACCACUGAAUCUUUCUAAUAUCUGGACAGACUUCAAAUGACUUUUCGGGUUAUAAGGUGUAUAUAUACAGCUGGCUUGAUUUCUGUAUUCUUGAAUGCACAAGCUCACAAAGCCAGGAGCCCACACAUCUCUGGAAUCUGGAACACGGGCUUAUCAAUGCAUACAAGGAAGAAUGUAUUUUCCAUAUGUGGCACUGCAAGAGUUAAGUGAUUAGCCUGAGACUGCUGCUAAGUCACUUCAGUCGUGUCCGACUCUGUGCGACCCCAUAGACAGCAGCCCACCAGGCUCCACCAUCCCUGGAAUUCUCCAGGCAAGAACAACGGAGUGGGUUGCCAUUUCCUUCUCCAAUGCAGGAAAGUGAAAAGUGAAAGUGAAGUUGCUCAGUCUUGUCCAACUCUUAGCGACUCCAUGGACUGCAGCCUACCAGGCUCCUCUGUCCAUGGGAUUUUCCAGGCAAGAGUACUGGAGUGGGUUGCCACCGCCUUAGAGAGGGAAUAAACUGCCAGAAU